Long non-coding RNA from Xenia sp. Carnegie-2017, 500 nucleotides. RefSeq lists it as uncharacterized. Lineage: Eukaryota; Metazoa; Cnidaria; Anthozoa; Malacalcyonacea; Xeniidae. The record is from RefSeq and is a predicted model, not a curated record. The transcript has 2 exons.
UAUUUCUUCAAGUGCAACAAAUAUCGAGGUGAGAUUUAAAGUUAUGCGUCCAUUAUGGGGCGACGUCAUGAAGUACGACCGUUUUACAAAUACCUGGUCGAAACCGUAUACACCUCAUAUCUUCCGAUACGAGAAAGCCACUGGUCGCACAUUUACUCUUAGUGGUAAUCUUUGGUGGGAGGCAGUUAUGAGAGUAACUGAUGAAUACCAUGAGGAAACAAAUGAAAUGGGUGAAGUUUAGAAAGAUAUCGCCAGCGGAAGUAAUGAUUGGGAAACGUUCUGUUAACAUAGAACAAAUAAGUCAUCGCUGAACUAAGUGAUAAUUGACCUUACCUGAGAUUGAGUGUAACUGUAAAUACAACGUAUAAAUCAUCAUUAUUCAAAUGAUGGAGACAGCAAUGACUCUCACAUAAUGAUUUUUAAGAAAAUAGUUUUCUUUGGACAAUUAUCUUAUACCAGUAUGCUUUUGUGUAUAAUGUAAUAAUUAAAUAGUAAUUUUU